UACAGAGGGUGCGAGCGUUUGUUCGGAAUUAUUGGGCGUAAAGGGCGCGUAGGCGGCGCCACAAGUCACUUGUGAAAACUCUGGGCUCAACUCAGAGCCUGCAAGCGAAACUGGGGGUGCUGGAGUAUGGAGAGGUGCGUGGAAUUCCCGGUGUAGCGGUGGAAUGCGCAGAUAUCAGGAAGAACACCCGUGGCGAAGGCGCUCUCUGGAACGCAAACUGACGCUGAGACGCGAAAAGCGUGGGGGAGCAAACAGG
RNAcentral lists this ribosomal RNA (256 nucleotides) under uncultured bacterium. RNAcentral describes it as "partial 16S ribosomal RNA". It matches the Rfam family "Bacterial small subunit ribosomal RNA", at positions 524 to 776 of the family's 1533-position model. The record is from RNAcentral.